Arabidopsis lyrata subsp. lyrata is the source of this 1173-nucleotide long non-coding RNA. RefSeq lists it as uncharacterized. NCBI's taxonomy places the organism in Eukaryota, Viridiplantae, Streptophyta, Magnoliopsida, Brassicales, Brassicaceae. The transcript is spliced from 4 exons. The record is from RefSeq and is a predicted model, not a curated record.
GGCGACCACGUGUCCUUAUUUGAUUGGGUCGUCAUAUUUAACAAAACAAAAAAAUAAACAACUCUCGUUUCCUCCGCAAAAAUAAAACUAAACACGACUACUCUCUUUUCUCUCUGUCUCUCUCGCGACCAAACAGAAAAUCAUUGAUCUAUGAUUUUCGAUGAAUCAAGCCGUUUAUGUGUGUAAUCGAGGAAUCUGAGACGCCGAAAUCAUCAAGUCGACAGAAGCUGUUGUCCAUUGGCGGAGGAAGACCAAACUCAAUCGGAACCGAAAGUGAUUUGGAGUGAAAUCUGUGAUGGAAGCUCCAAAUUAGGUACAUUCUGUAGCUUGGAAUUCUAAUGGAACAAAUCUUGCUUCGGGUUCUGUUGAUCAAACGACUCGCAUUUGGAAUAUCGAACCACACGGUCAUGUGGAAAAUGCACACAGCAGGCAGAACUUAGUGGAGAGAAUAUAAACAUCACUUACAAACCUGAUGGGACACAUGUAGCUGUUGGUAAUAGGGUAUUGUCUCGAGCCCCAUCUCUUGUUAUGAGGUAACGUAAGCUCAUACCCUUGUUAAUCUUUUUGAUAAGGUUAAUGAGAUUGAUUGGAACAUGCCUGAAGAUUUUUUCUUCUUGAAUACUGGAGUUGGUGAGGAUUUGAAAUUAUGUACUUUCCUACACACGAUUCCCUAGCUAAGAAUUCAUUGUUUUUGAACUUCAGAAAAUGAUCUUAUUGGAAAGUUUUAUAUGUUCCUGAUUGAUUGUGAUCUUUAGUGGUACUGCAUUAAGAAUCUUAUAUGUUCCUAAACUGGUAUUGGUAAGGCAUACUGCCAAUUUUAAUCUCCUUAUGUGAAGUAAACCGUCUUUGCUCAUAUAUUUUGGUUUCUCUUUCACAGAGCAAAGUCGAAGAGCUGACCAAGAGUCUCUUGGAUUUGUGCUUCUGUACUUCUUAAGAGUAAGGUGUGUUGAUUUUUCGACUUGUUCUUUGUGUUCUUCUUAAAACUUGUGUUCUACUUAAGACAUGUUCUUUGUGUUCUUGGAUAUAUGUUCUUUUCGACUUCUAUACUUCUUAAGAGAAAGAAACUAGUUAACAUUGUUUUCUUUAGCAAGGUAUUGAUUUCUUUUUUGAGAUUUAGAGAUUGUGGACAAAAAUUUGAAACAUUUGAAGAGAACCCCACUUGAGAGAUACUAC